This 403-nucleotide ribosomal RNA is filed under the name bacterium. Its description in RNAcentral is "partial 16S ribosomal RNA". It matches the Rfam family "Bacterial small subunit ribosomal RNA", at positions 355 to 776 of the family's 1533-position model. The record is from RNAcentral.
UGGGGAAUAUUGCACAAUGGGGGAAACCCUGAUGCAGCGACGCCGCGUGAACGAAGAAGGUAUUCGUAUCGUAAAGUUCUGUCCUAUGGGAAGAUAAUGACAGUACCAUAGAAGAAAGCUCCGGCUAAAUACGUGCCAGCAGCCGCGGUAAUACGUAUGGAGCGAGCGUUGUCCGGAAUUAUUGGGCGUAAAGGGUACGCAGGCGGUUUAAUAAGUCGAAUGUUAAAGAUCGGGGCUCAACCCCGUAAAGCAUUGGAAACUGUUACACUUGAGUAGUGGAGAGGAAAGUGGAAUUCCUAGUGUAGUGGUGAAAUACGUAGAUAUUAGGAGGAAUACCAGUAGCGAAGGCGACUUUCUGGACACAAACUGACGCUGAGGUACGAAAGCGUGGGGAGCAAACAGG